UAAUUGACUUUUUGACUUUGAACCGCUUUUGUGUGCGCGGAUCGU
This 45-nucleotide small RNA is filed under the name Drosophila guanche. The record is from RNAcentral. Lineage: Eukaryota; Metazoa; Arthropoda; Insecta; Diptera; Drosophilidae.